GGGGAUGUAGCUCAGUUGGUAGAGCCCCCGACUUUUAAUCGGGUGGUCAUGGGUUCAAGUCCCAUCAUCCCCACCA
This 76-nucleotide transfer RNA is filed under the name bacterium. RNAcentral describes it as "tRNA-Lys". It matches the Rfam family "tRNA". Rfam says of the family: Transfer RNA (tRNA) molecules are approximately 80 nucleotides in length. The record is from RNAcentral.